CGAGUUGUAAUCUAUAGAAGUGUUUUCCGUGCUGGCUCAUGUACAAGUCCCUUGGAACAGGGCGUCAUAGAGGGUGAGAAUCCCGUCCUUGACAUGAACUACCAGUGCUCUGUGAUACAUUUUCAACGAGUCGAGUUGUUUGGGAAUGCAGCUCAAAAUGGGUGGUAAAUUCCAUCUAAAGCUAAAUAUUGGCGAGAGACCGAUAGCGAACAAGUACCGUGAGGGAAAGAUGAAAAGCACUUUGGAAAGAGAGUUAAACAGUAUGUGAAAUUGUUAAAAGGGAAACGAUUGAAGUCAGUCGUGCUCUUUGGAUUCAGCCGGUUCUGCCGGUGUACUUCCUUUGAGUGGGGUCAACAUCAGUUUUGAUCGCUGGAUAAAGGCUGGAGGAACGUAGCACCCCCGGGUGAACUUAUAGCCUCCUGUCACAUACA
RNAcentral lists this ribosomal RNA (431 nucleotides) under Filobasidium stepposum. RNAcentral's name for it is "partial large subunit ribosomal RNA". It matches the Rfam family "Eukaryotic large subunit ribosomal RNA", at positions 139 to 576 of the family's 3401-position model. The record is from RNAcentral. Lineage: Eukaryota; Fungi; Basidiomycota; Tremellomycetes; Filobasidiales; Filobasidiaceae.